GAUGAAGAACGCAGCGAAAUGCGAUACGUAAUGUGAAUUGCAAAUUCAGUGAAUCAUCGAGUCUUUGAACGCACAUUGCGCCCCCUGGUAUUCCGGGGGGCAUGCCUGUUCGAGCGUCAUCUACACCCUCAAGCACAGCUUGGUGAUGGGCGCCUGUCCCGCCCCCCACGGGGGCGCGGACUCGCCUCAAAUGCAUUGGCGGCCGGCGACCUGGCUUCGAGCGCAGCAGAAACGCGUACUCGGGGACCGGGCGCCCGCUCCCAGAAGCCAACCCACCCAGUUUGACCUCGGAUCAGGUAGGGAUACCCGCUGAACUUAAGCAUAUCAAUAAGCGGAGGA
Molecule: unclassified non-coding RNA, 339 nt
Filed under: soil metagenome
Description: partial contains 5.8S ribosomal RNA, internal transcribed spacer 2, and large subunit ribosomal RNA
Rfam family: 5.8S ribosomal RNA (bases 1-119)
Source: RNAcentral